UGCUGAAAAGCCAUGUCUCCUUUUCCUGAUGAACCUCCAAACCUCCAGUGCUACAAGUCAGUGAUGAAAUAACCAUCCUCUGUGUAAAGCUUUUAGUGCUGAAUGUGAAAAAAUUCUCCGGGCUGCCAGCAGGUGGGAUUCAUGAUCAAACAGGAUAUAGCAACUUGCACCUGGAUUGCAAGGAGGAGGAAAAGACUACCUGGAUUAAAUACUAUUUUUCUGGGGGAGAGAAGGAGAGCAAUGAAAACUUGUAAUGCAAAGAUAGGACAGCACAGUGAUAGUUCUUUUACCCCUCAGCAAUGCAAGUGAAG
RNAcentral lists this long non-coding RNA (311 nucleotides) under Coturnix japonica (Japanese quail). RNAcentral's name for it is "lncRNA (ENSCJPG00005010081.1)". Lineage: Eukaryota; Metazoa; Chordata; Aves; Galliformes; Phasianidae. The record is from RNAcentral.